This 253-nucleotide ribosomal RNA is filed under the name uncultured bacterium. RNAcentral's name for it is "partial 16S ribosomal RNA". It matches the Rfam family "Bacterial small subunit ribosomal RNA", at positions 524 to 776 of the family's 1533-position model. The record is from RNAcentral.
UACGUAGGGUGCGAGCGUUAAUCGGAUUCACUGGGCGUAAAGGGUGCGCAGGCGGCCGAGUGUGUGAGGCGUGAAAGCCCGGGGCUUAACCCCGGAAUUGCACCUCAAACUACACGGCUAGAGCAUUGGAGAGGGUAGCAGAAUUCAUGGUGUAGCAGUGAAAUGCGUAGAUAUCAUGAGGAAUACCAGAGGCGAAGGCGGCUACCUGGACAAUUGCUGACGCUCAGGCACGAAAGCGUGGGGAGCAAAAGGG